Molecule: ribosomal RNA, 822 nt
Filed under: Agrococcus sp.
Lineage: Bacteria; Bacillati; Actinomycetota; Actinomycetes; Micrococcales; Microbacteriaceae
Description: bacterial SSU rRNA
Rfam family: Bacterial small subunit ribosomal RNA
Source: RNAcentral
GGACGCUGCUACCAUGCAAGUCGAGAGAUGAAGGAGGAGCUUGCUCCUCUGGAUUAGUGGCGAACGGGUGAGUAAUACGUGAGCAAUGUGCCCUUGACUCUGGGAUAAGCGCUGGAAACGGCGUCUAAUACCGGAUACGACCCUCGGAGGCAUCUCCUGAUGGUGGAAAGAACUUCGGUCAAGGAUCAGCUCACGGCCUAUCAGCUAGUUGGGGAGGGAACGGCUCACCAAGGCAACGACGGGUAGCCGGCCUGAAAGGGUGACCGGCCACACUGGGACUGAGACACGGCCCACACUCCUACGGGAGGCAGCAGUGGGGAAUAUUGCACAAUGGGCGCAAGCCUGAUGCAGCAACGCCGCGUGAGGGACGAAGGCCUUCGGGUUGUAAACCUCUUUUAGCAGGGAAGAAGCGAAAGUGACGGUACCUGCAGAAAAAGCACCGGCUAACUACGUGCCAGCAGCCGCGGUAAUACGUAGGGUGCAAGCGUUGUCCGGAAUUAUUGGGCGUAAAGAGCUCGUAGGCGGUUUGUCGCGUCUGCUGUGAAAACCCGAGGCUCAACCUCGGGCUUGCAGUGGGUACGGGCAGACUAGAGUGCGGUAGGGGAGAUUGGAAUUCCUGGUGUAGCGGUGGAAUGCGCAGAUAUCAGGAGGAACACCGAUGGCGAAGGCAGAUCUCUGGGCCGUAACUGACGCUGAAGAGCGAAAGCAUGGGGAGCAAACAGGCUUAGAUACCCUGGUAGUCCAUGCCGUAAACGUUGGGAACUAGAUGUGGGGGACCAUUUCCACGGUCUCCGUGUCGUAGCUAACGCAUUAAAGCUUCCC